UGGGGAAUUUUGGACAAUGGGGGAAACCCUGAUCCAGCCAUCCCGCGUGUGCGAUGAAGGCCUUCGGGUUGUAAAGCACUUUUGGCAGGAAAGAAACGUCAUGGGUUAAUACCCCGUGAAACUGACGGUACCUGCAGAAUAAGCACCGGCUAACUACGUGCCAGCAGCCGCGGUAAUACGUAGGGUGCAAGCGUUAAUCGGAAUUACUGGGCGUAAAGCGUGCGCAGGCGGUUCGGAAAGAAAGAUGUGAAAUCCCAGAGCUCAACUUUGGAACUGCAUUUUUAACUACCGGGCUGGAGUGUGUCAGAGGGAGGUGGAAUUCCGCGUGUAGCAGUGAAAUGCGUAGAUAUGCGGAGGAACACCGAUGGCGAAGGCAGCCUCCUGGGAUAACACUGACGCUCAUGCACGAAAGCGUGGGGAGCAAACAGG
RNAcentral lists this ribosomal RNA (429 nucleotides) under Acidobacteriota bacterium. Its description in RNAcentral is "Acidobacteria bacterium partial 16S ribosomal RNA". It matches the Rfam family "Bacterial small subunit ribosomal RNA", at positions 355 to 776 of the family's 1533-position model. Lineage: Bacteria; Pseudomonadati; Acidobacteriota. The record is from RNAcentral.